This 87-nucleotide transfer RNA is filed under the name Gammaproteobacteria bacterium. RNAcentral describes it as "tRNA-Leu". It matches the Rfam family "tRNA". From Rfam's summary of the family: Transfer RNA (tRNA) molecules are approximately 80 nucleotides in length. The record is from RNAcentral. Lineage: Bacteria; Pseudomonadati; Pseudomonadota; Gammaproteobacteria.
GGCCGAGUGGUGGAAUUGGUAGACACGAUGGAUUCAAAAUCCAUUGGGGUUAAACCCGUGCCGGUUCGAGUCCGGCCUCGGCUACCA